GACGAACGCUGGCGGCGUGCUUAACACAUGCAAGUCGAACGGUAAGGCCCUUCGGGGUACACGAGUGGCGAACGGGUGAGUAACACGUGGGUGAUCUGCCCUGCACUUCGGGAUAAGCCUGGGAAACUGGGUCUAAUACCGGAUAGGACCACUGCCUGCAUGGGUGGUGGUGGAAAGCUUUUGCGGUGUGGGAUGGGCCCGCGGCCUAUCAGGUUGUUGGUGGGGUGAUGGCCUACCAAGGCGACGACGGGUAGCCGGCCUGGGAGGGUGACCGGCCACACUGGGGCAGAGAUACGGCCCAGACUCCUACGGGAGGCAGCAGUGGGGAAUAUUGCGCAAUGGGCGCAAGCCUGAUGCAGCGACGCCGCGUGAGGGAUGACGGCCUUCGGGUUGUAAACCUCUUUCAGCACCGACGAAGCGCAAGUGACGGUAGGUGCAGAAGAAGGACCGGCCAACUACGUGCCAGCCGCCGCGGUAA
This 478-nucleotide ribosomal RNA is filed under the name uncultured bacterium. RNAcentral's name for it is "partial 16S ribosomal RNA". It matches the Rfam family "Bacterial small subunit ribosomal RNA", at positions 28 to 523 of the family's 1533-position model. The record is from RNAcentral.